This 3487-nucleotide long non-coding RNA is filed under the name Salvia miltiorrhiza (redroot sage). RNAcentral describes it as "long non-coding RNA (SMIL_LNC000601)". Lineage: Eukaryota; Viridiplantae; Streptophyta; Magnoliopsida; Lamiales; Lamiaceae. The record is from RNAcentral.
GCACAAUAUGAAAUAGAACACGAAUGAUAUUUAAAAAAAAAAGAAAAAAAAAAGAAAACACUUUUUUUCGAAUUGUAUGACUUAGCUAAUUUGUGUCAAAUGAUCUGAGUGCUUUACAUCUCUAUCUUUAAAGUGAUUUAUAUGAAGGGUUAUCCAAUUUUUAGGUCCAAUACCAUCCACCAUUGGAAAUCUAUCAAAUUUGUGGGUGCUAGACCUAUCUUCCAACAAAUUAAAUGGUGAGCUUCCAUUCUCCAUGUGCAACAUGACAUCCCUUCAAAUUCUUAUUUUCUCGAAUAACAGUUUGGAAAUCUUUGGACAUAUUUCAUCUAAAUGCAAAUCACUUUAGUGGCCCCAUUCCAUCAAUAUUUAUGAGAUGGUGAAUUUUUUAGUCUAACAAUUUGAGUAUUAAUAAAUUGCAAGGAAAUUUGUCUAUACGUGUGUUCAUAUAAGAUAUGCGAUUUUUCUAAUUCCCUUGUCACUCCAUGUGCAAUAUGAAAUAGAUUUAUAUAUAAAAAAAGUUGCGCAAUAUAUUUUCUCGAUAAAAGAAAAAGGAAAACAUACUCUAAUAUUUUGAAAAAUAAUUGGAGCAAUGUAAUCUCUUUUUCACAUGGAUAAUAGAGUGACUUAUUUAGAACUCUAGCUGGGGUGUGACUUGUGAGACUCGAAGGCAGCACAUCCCACUAGAAAUUGGAAAUCUGUCUUCACUUGUUUAUCUUGAUAUAAAUGGAAACUCUUUUCAUGGUACUAUUUCCUCUAUCUAUUUUUAAUUUGUUGUUAAUAGAAUAUAUUUAUUUAUAUGGUAAUCCUAUCAGCUCGUGUGAUAUCCCGACUUUUCUAUAAGAAAUAUAGAAGAUCUUUACUUAGUUUAUUAUUGGGAAUCUAUCCAAUUUGUCGUUGCUAUGGCUAUCUUCCAACAAAUUAAAUGGUGAGCUUCCAUUCUCCAUCUGCAACUUGAUAUAACUUCUUUACAAACUUGAUCGGAUCUUUGGCCAUUUUUGUUUAAACUAGUCUUUCUAAUAUUUUACAUUUGUUAAGAUAAGAUUUGUCUAAUUCCUUUGCCAAUGCAUGCACAAUAUGAAAUAGAACACGAAUGAUAUGUAAAAAAAAAAAAGAAAAAAAUAGAAAACACUUUUUUUCGAAUUGUAUGACUUAGCUAAUUUGUGUCAAAAGAUCUUAGUGCUUUACAUCUCUAUCUUUAAAGUGAUUUAUAUGAAGGGUUAUCCAAUUUUUAGGUCCAAUACCAUCCACCAUUGGGAAUCUAUCAAAUUUGUACCGGCUAGUCCUCGCUUCCAACAAAUUAAAUGGUGAGCUUCCAUUCUCCAUGUGCAACAUGACAUCCCUUCAAAUUCUUAUUUUCUCAAAUAACAGUUUGGAAAUCUUUGGACAUAUUUCAUCUAAAUGCAAAUCACUUUAGUGGCCGCAUUCCAUCAAUAUUUAUGAGAGGGUGUAUUUUUUAGUCUAACAAUUUGAGUGUUAAUAAAUCGCAAGAAAAUUUGCCUAUACAUGUGUUCAUACUAAUAACGAUUUUUCAUUUUUUCCAAUAGUGAUUCAAAUCACUAAUCUAUUAAUUGGAAGUGGAGAACUUUAACAAUUGAGUCACGCUUCGUUAUGAAAUUAAUUAUAUACUUAUAACUUUGCAUGACUAUAUAUGACUUUGAAUUGAUUAGAUAUAAGUUCUUGCACUAAUCUAUUAUUAUUAUUAUUAUUAUUAUUUAUUAUUAUUAUUAUUAUUAUUAUUAUUUAUUAUUAUUAUUAUUAUUAUUAUUAUUAUUAUUAUUAUUAUUAUUAUUAUUAUUAUUAUUAUUAUUAUUUCUCUCUCUUUUUCUAUACUUUACUCGGUUUACAUCAAUCUAAUUAAAUGGAAUUUUUUACAAAUUAGCCCAUAUGACAAUAUAUGUUCACUUUCAUAUAAUUAGAAAAAGCACACCACUAACUAAUUUUCUAAUACUAAUUAUGAUUUUAGAUUGGCUAGAUUAACUAUAUAUGACUCUGCAUUGAAUAGGUUAGAUAUAAAUUCUUGUACAUUAUUUGAUAAUAAAAAAAUGACUUUUAAAUUUUAUUUUAACAACUGAAAAUCAAUUUGUAAAUAUCAGAGGCCCCACUUAAUUGAACCAUUGCCAAGACUAAAUUGAACCGAGUCAAAAUUAUUUGGAUUGAACAAUUACCAUUUAAUAUUCACCAAAUAAUGUAUUCAAAUUGACAAAAACGAACCAUUAAAUAUAGUGUUCUAAUACUUAUUUAUUUUGUGGUCAUGUUAUAAUAAUCAAAUCAAUUAUUUUACGACUUGGCAAUUUUGGAGGUGAUAUUCCAAAAGCGAGAUUGAUUAUGUAUAUCUUGGGAAUAAGAAAUUCCACAAUGCUAUGAAAACUUUAGCAAAUCUUUGGCCAUCUUUCGUUCAAUUAUAAAUCAGUUUAGUGGUAAAAAAUGAGAUAUAUGGAAAAUUACAUAAAUUAUCUGUCGUCCAUUUCCUAAUUUGUUGGUUUUAGAUUACAUUUGUUGAAAAGAUAUUUCAAAUUAUCUGCCAAAGUAAAUGGUGAGCUUCCACUCCAUUUACAACUCGACAUCCCUUGCUAUCUGCAAUUUGGCAGAAACGCUUGCAAAACUUGAUCAGAUCUUUAGCUUAUUUUGUUUACUUAGCUUGCUGGCUUCUUCUCAUAUAACUAAUUUAUGCUUAGUUAGAUAAAUACUCUAACAGCAGUUGGAUUUUCUGUUUCCAGCCAUAUUGGAUCUUCAAUUUUCUCAAUGUUAGAUGAUUUGUUAAAUUAUGAUGUCAUCAAGUAUACUUGGUGUGUCAUCGUGAUACAGGGAAAUAUAAGAUUUGUAACAAAAUAUCUUGUGUGCAUUGCUAAUUGAUUUAUACUUUAAAGGCAUUUAGCAAAUAAUAAAGUUUGAGCGUAUGUUUUCAAGUACAAAAAAAAAUGUCUUUCUUACUAUCCUCCAUCUUUAAAGUGAUUGAAAUGAAGGGUUCUUCAAUUUUUAGGUCCAAUACCAUCCACCAUUGGAAAUCUAACAAAUUUGUACUGGCUAGAACUCUCUUCCAACAAAUUAAAUGGUGAGCUUCCAUUCUUUAUCUGCAACUUGACAUAAUAACUUUUUUACAAACUUCGUCGGAUCUUUUCGCCAUUUUUGUUUGAACUAGUCUUUUUAAAAUUUUACAUUUGGUAAGAUAAGAUAUGCGAUUUGUCUAAUUCCGUUGGCAAUGCAUGCACAAUAUGAAAUAAAACACGAAUGAUAUUAAUAAUAAAAGAAAAACAUAGAAAACACUUUUUUUUCGAAUUGUAUGACUUAGCUAAUUUGUGUCAAAAGAUCCGAGUGCUUUACAUCUCGAUCUUUAAAGUGAUUUAUAUGAAGGGUUAUCCAAUUUUCAGGUCCAAUACCAUCCACCAUUGGGAAUAUAUCAAAUUUGGACUAGCUAGACAUCUCUUCCAACAAAUUAAAUGGUGAGCUUCCAUUCUCCAUGUGCAACAUGACAUCCCUUCAAAUUCUU